RNAcentral lists this microRNA (22 nucleotides) under Pristionchus pacificus. Its description in RNAcentral is "ppc-miR-8350-5p". The record is from miRBase by way of RNAcentral. Lineage: Eukaryota; Metazoa; Nematoda; Chromadorea; Rhabditida; Neodiplogasteridae.
GGCGACUUGCCCGGAAUCAAAC